UACGAGAGGCCCAAACGUUAUUCGGAAUUACUGGGCUUAAAGAGUUCGUAGGCGGCGCAGAAAGUAGGGUGUGAAAUCCCUCGGCUUAACUGAGGAACUGCACGGGAUACUGCUUGACUUGAGUUCGGGAGAGGGAAGCGGAAUUCCGGGUGUAGCGGUGAAAUGCGUAGAUAUCCGGAGGAACACCGGUGGCGAAGGCGGCUUCCUGGACCGACACUGACGCUGAUGAGCGAAAGCUAGGGGAGCAAACGGG
RNAcentral lists this ribosomal RNA (253 nucleotides) under uncultured bacterium. RNAcentral describes it as "partial 16S ribosomal RNA". It matches the Rfam family "Bacterial small subunit ribosomal RNA", at positions 524 to 776 of the family's 1533-position model. The record is from RNAcentral.